RNAcentral lists this ribosomal RNA (427 nucleotides) under uncultured bacterium. Its description in RNAcentral is "bacterial SSU rRNA". It matches the Rfam family "Bacterial small subunit ribosomal RNA", at positions 355 to 775 of the family's 1533-position model. The record is from RNAcentral.
UCGAGAAUUUUUCACAAUGGGGGCAACCCUGAUGGAGCGACGCCGCGUGGAGGAUGAAGGCUUUCGGGUUGUAAACUCCUGUCAUUUGGGAACAAGGUGCAAUGGUUAACUGCCGCUGCAUUGAUAGUACUAGAAGAGGAAGAGACGGCUAACUCUGUGCCAGCAGCCGCGGUAAUACAGAGGUCUCAAGCGUUGUUCGGAUUCAUUGGGCGUAAAGGGUGCGUAGGUGGCGGGGUAAGUCAGGUGUGAAAUUUCGGAGCUUAACUCCGAAACUGCAUUUGAUACUGCCUUGCUUGAGGACUGGAGAGGAGACUGGAAUUUACGGUGUAGCAGUGAAAUGCGUAGAUAUCGUAAGGAAGACCAGUGGCGAAGGCGGGUCUCUGGACAGUUCCUGACACUGAGGCACGAAGGCUAGGGGAGCAAACGG